CCGGUAAACGGCGGCCGUAACUAUAACGGUCCUAAGGUAGCGAAAUUCCUUGUCGGGUAAGUUCCGACCUGCACGAAUGGCGUAAUGAUGGCCAGGCUGUCUCCACCCGAGACUCAGUGAAAUUGAACUCGCUGUGAAGAUGCAGUGUACCCGCGGCAAGACGGAAAGACCCCGUGAACCUUUACUAUAGCUUGACACUGAACAUUGAGCCUUGAUGUGUAGGAUAGGUGGGAGGCUUUGAAGUGUGGACGCCAGUCUGCAUGGAGCCGACCUUGAAAUACCACCCUUUAAUGUUUGAUGUUCUAACGUUGGCCCCUGAUCGGGGUUGCGGACAGUGUCUGGUGGGUAGUUUGACUGGGGCGGUCUCCUCCUAAAGAGUAACGGAGGAGCACGAAGGUUGGCUAAUCCUGGUCGGACAUCAGG
This 423-nucleotide ribosomal RNA is filed under the name Escherichia coli. RNAcentral's name for it is "partial 23S ribosomal RNA". It matches the Rfam family "Bacterial large subunit ribosomal RNA", at positions 1920 to 2342 of the family's 2925-position model. Lineage: Bacteria; Pseudomonadati; Pseudomonadota; Gammaproteobacteria; Enterobacterales; Enterobacteriaceae. The record is from RNAcentral.